CGACCGGCGCACGGGUGAGUAACGCGUAUGCAACCUGCCCGAUACCGGGGUAUAGCCCAUGGAAACGUGGAUUAACACCCCAUAGUACUUUUAUCCUGCAUGGGAUGUGAGUUAAAUGUUCAAGGUAUCGGAUGGGCAUGCGUCCUAUUAGUUAGUUGGCGGGGUAACAGCCCACCAAUACGAUGAUAGGUAGGGGUUCUGAGAGGAAGGUCCCCCACAUUGGAACUGAGACACGGUCCAA
RNAcentral lists this ribosomal RNA (241 nucleotides) under uncultured bacterium. RNAcentral's name for it is "partial 16S ribosomal RNA". It matches the Rfam family "Bacterial small subunit ribosomal RNA", at positions 92 to 334 of the family's 1533-position model. The record is from RNAcentral.